RNAcentral lists this long non-coding RNA (257 nucleotides) under Glycine max (soybean). RNAcentral describes it as "long non-coding RNA (GMAX_LNC000857)". Lineage: Eukaryota; Viridiplantae; Streptophyta; Magnoliopsida; Fabales; Fabaceae. The record is from RNAcentral.
GGUGCCGCAUUCAAACUUGGUCACUAACCAUAUAUAGCUACGUCCAUUAUGGGCCAAAAGCAAAGUGCUAUGCAUAGGAAUCCAAGUAGGGCAUAUAUAGCAAGAAAACCACACUACCCAACAGAUUAGUGCAUCUCGAGAUAUAUUAGGAUGCAAAAGCAGCAUAUAUGUUGCUCAUUGUGUCUGAGUCUAGAACAAAUCCACUUUCCUUUUCAGCAUGUCUUGCUUCCAUCUUGGCAACUUAGAGAAUGCUUCUU